This 313-nucleotide long non-coding RNA is filed under the name Brassica rapa (field mustard). Its description in RNAcentral is "long non-coding RNA (BRAP_LNC005477)". The record is from RNAcentral. Lineage: Eukaryota; Viridiplantae; Streptophyta; Magnoliopsida; Brassicales; Brassicaceae.
UGGAACCCGUUAAACAGUAAUGAUCCGGGUUCAUGCGGAAGGAGUGUGGCGAAACGAGUUCACGUGGCAUAGAGCUGCUUGAUUAUUAUAAUAUAUUUUUUUCUAGGCCUAUAAACCUCAGCUCAUGAACUCCUUUUAAUCCGCUGAUGCGGAUGCUCUUAGUCAGUUUGGUGCAAAAGAACGUGCAAGUAGCCCGGCACCAUCAACUAGAGUGUACUCAGUGUCGGCCAUGCCCCUGUGUAGUCUCUAGCAAACGCUACCCAUCCAUGCACUUGAAAAUAUACUUUGUGAUUCAUUUAGACAUCGUUUAUUC